UGUGCUAAUCCUCUUGGAAUGCAGCAAUUAUCACCUACCGUAUAGGUGUUAAGUGCUUGAAUUUCAAAGGGAUUAUCACU
Molecule: microRNA precursor, 80 nt
Filed under: Chordeiles acutipennis (lesser nighthawk)
Lineage: Eukaryota; Metazoa; Chordata; Aves; Caprimulgiformes; Caprimulgidae
Also listed under: 1 other name
Description: mir-1743 microRNA precursor family
Rfam family: mir-1743 microRNA precursor family
Source: Rfam by way of RNAcentral